GAACUAAGAAGUCUACAUAGCAUUGAAGAACUUUUUUUUUAAAGGAAGAUUGAAGAGCUCCAAGGCAAUGGAGAGCACCAUGAGAAUGUCAUGGACUUAGUACGAUCCAAGAGCUUACUUGCUCUCAUUCUUCACUUCUGUACAAAGCUACUGAAAUACCCUUCCCAACAGAGAAGUUUUGUCCAUGCAAAGUCUUGAAGUAGACUAGUGCUUCUAACAGUAUCAGAAUACAUAGAAUUCA
Molecule: long non-coding RNA, 241 nt
Organism: Oxyura jamaicensis (ruddy duck)
Lineage: Eukaryota; Metazoa; Chordata; Aves; Anseriformes; Anatidae
Exons: 3
Source: RefSeq, a predicted model, not a curated record